UAAUACGUAGGUGGCAAGCGUUGUCCGGAAUUAUUGGGCGUAAAGCGCGCGCAGGCGGUCCUUUAAGUCUGAUGUGAAAUCUUGCGGCUCAACCGCAAGCGGUCAUUGGAAACUGGGGGACUUGAGUGCAGAAGAGGAAAGCGGAAUUCCACGUGUAGCGGUGAAAUGCGUAGAGAUGUGGAGGAACACCAGUGGCGAAGGCGGCUUUCUGGUCUGUAACUGACGCUGAGGCGCGAAAGCGUGGGGAGCAAACAGGAUUAGAUACCCUGGUAGUCCACGCCGUAAACGAUGAGUGCUAAGUGUUGGAGGGUUUCCGCCCUUCAGUGCUGCAGCUAACGCAUUAAGCACUCCGCCUGGGGAGUACGGUCGCAAGACUGAA
RNAcentral lists this ribosomal RNA (379 nucleotides) under uncultured bacterium. RNAcentral describes it as "bacterial SSU rRNA". It matches the Rfam family "Bacterial small subunit ribosomal RNA", at positions 521 to 898 of the family's 1533-position model. The record is from RNAcentral.